This 29-nucleotide non-coding RNA is filed under the name Rattus norvegicus (Norway rat). The record is from RNAcentral. Lineage: Eukaryota; Metazoa; Chordata; Mammalia; Rodentia; Muridae.
UAAUUGGUGUAGCAUGGUAUAGUGAAGAA